UUUCCGUAGGUGAACCUGCGGAAGGAUCAUUACUGAGUUAGUCCUGUAAAAAGGACGAAUCUCCCACACUUUGUUUAAAAGAUUUUAUAAUUCUGGUGAUUCUUUACGAGUCCCGGGAGUUUUAUACUCUCUAUCUUCUCGCAAGAGAAGAUAUGGUUAAAACAAACAAAAUCAAAAAAACAUUAAAACUUUCAACAACGGAUCUCUUGGUUCUGGCAUCGAUGAAGAACGCAGC
This 235-nucleotide unclassified non-coding RNA is filed under the name uncultured fungus. RNAcentral's name for it is "sequence contains ITS1, 5.8S rRNA gene". The stretch from base 187 to 235 matches the Rfam family "5.8S ribosomal RNA", at positions 1 to 49 of the family's 154-position model. Lineage: Eukaryota; Fungi. The record is from RNAcentral.